GUCGAGAAUCUUUGGCAAUGCGCGAAAGCGUGACCAAGCGACGCCGCGUGGAGGAUGAAGGCCUUCGGGUUGUAAACUCCUGUCACCUGGAAAGAAAUCUAUCAUGGUUAAUACCCAAGUAGUUGACGUUACCGGGAGAGGAAGCCACGGCUAACUCUGUGCCAGCAGCCGCGGUAAUACAGAGAUGGCGAGCGUUGUUCGGAAUUACUGGGCAUAAAGGGUGCGUAGGCGGUCUAGAAAGUCAGAGGUGAAAUCCCUCCGCUCAACGGAGGAACUGCUUUUGAUACUAUUAGACUUGAGGGCUGGAGGGGAGUGUGGAAUUCCUGGUGGAGCGGUGAAAUGCGUAGAUAUCAGGAGGAACGCCGGUGGCGAAAGCGACACUCUGGCCAGCUUCUGACGCUGAGGUACGAAAGCUAGGGGAGCAAACGGG
RNAcentral lists this ribosomal RNA (430 nucleotides) under uncultured bacterium. RNAcentral describes it as "bacterial SSU rRNA". It matches the Rfam family "Bacterial small subunit ribosomal RNA", at positions 354 to 776 of the family's 1533-position model. The record is from RNAcentral.